CCUUCGCCUAGGUCGUGUCACUCC
RNAcentral lists this unclassified non-coding RNA (24 nucleotides) under Mus musculus (house mouse). RNAcentral's name for it is "oocyte_clustered_small_RNA8987". Lineage: Eukaryota; Metazoa; Chordata; Mammalia; Rodentia; Muridae. The record is from RNAcentral.